This is a long non-coding RNA of Etheostoma spectabile (orangethroat darter), 656 nucleotides long. RefSeq lists it as uncharacterized. The transcript is spliced from 7 exons. The record is from RefSeq and is a predicted model, not a curated record. NCBI's taxonomy places the organism in Eukaryota, Metazoa, Chordata, Actinopteri, Perciformes, Percidae.
AGGUUUUCCAAGGAGAGCUGACAUACAGAACAAAAUGCUUCAAUGGCCACAGCAUCAAUGAAGAGACAAAUCCCUUCUGGACUCUUCCACUGUCAUUAAGGAAUACGCAUGAUAAAACCUACAAUGUGGGAAGUAGCUAUACAUGUUUUUUUGAGCCCAAAUCAUUCAGUGGAGACACAUGGUGUACUGCAAUAAAUGUAACGAGAAAACACAGGCAAAAAGUGUGUGUAACAUGAGGAAAUUUCCUCAGAUUUUGACUCUACUCCUAAAGAGAUUUGAUUUUGACUACGACAAAAUGUCACAUUUCAAAUCAGACUGCUGUGUGGCUGUGCCACUCGAAUUACCUCAACUUAAAAACCAGAAUAACAAUUACGAACUGUAUGGGAAGUAAAUCACAUGGCAGUCUGAGAGGUGGACAUUACACAGCCACCAUCCGGUCCAAUGACAGCUGGUACACGUUUAAUGACGAUGUUGUAAAGGCUGAAGGACAACCAUUUGCAGAAAGCAAAAUCUUUGAAUCCAGAGAUGCAUAUCUUCUCAUGUACAGAUUAACAGAUACUACCAAAAAUGCAAAACAGAAGGCAAAGAAGAUGGCAAAAAAAAAAAGAAGGCAAAGAAGAAGGCAAAGAAGAAGGAAAAAAAAUAGAAGGCAAAGA